GGCGGAGCUGUGGCACACUCUAGGCGUAGUAGUUUAACACCUCGCCUCUAGAGUGGCCGCGGUUACUGGCCGUAAAACCCCCAUAUUUAUAG
RNAcentral lists this ribosomal RNA (92 nucleotides) under Annulohypoxylon annulatum. RNAcentral describes it as "partial 28S ribosomal RNA". Lineage: Eukaryota; Fungi; Ascomycota; Sordariomycetes; Xylariales; Hypoxylaceae. The record is from RNAcentral.